GACAGAGGGUGCAAACGUUGUUCGGAUUUACUGGGCGUAAAGCGCGUGUAGGCGGCUUGGCAAGUCGGAUGUGAAAGCCCACGGCUCAACCGUGGAAGCGCAUCCGAAACUGCUUCGCUCGAGUCUCGGAGAGGAAGGUGGAAUGCUUGGUGUAGAGGUGAAAUUCGUAGAUAUCGAGAGGAACACCGGUGGCGAAGGCAGCGAUCUGAACGAUGACUGACGCUGAGACGCAAAAGCGUGGGAAGCAAACAGG
Molecule: ribosomal RNA, 253 nt
Filed under: uncultured bacterium
Lineage: Bacteria
Description: partial 16S ribosomal RNA
Rfam family: Bacterial small subunit ribosomal RNA
Source: RNAcentral